AUUGAACGCUGGCGGCAGGCCUAACACAUGCAAGUCGAACGAUUGGCGGACGGGUGAGUAAUGUCUGGGAAACUGCCCGAUGGAGGGGGAUAACUACUGGAAACGGUAGCUAAUACCGCAUACCAUCGGAUGUUCCCAGAUGGGAUUAGUUAGUAGGUGGGGUAACGGCUCACCUGGGCGACGAUCCCUAGCUGGUCUGAGAGGAUGACCAGCCACACUGGAACGGAGACACCGUCCAGACUCCUACGGUAGGCACCAGUGGGGAAUAUUUCACAAUGGGCGCAAGCCUGAUACAGCCAUGCCGCGUGUAUGAAGAAGGCCUUCGGGUUGUAAAGUACUUUCAGCGAGGAGGCGUUACUCGCAGAAGAAGCACCGGCUAACUCCGUGCCAGCAGCCGCGGUAAUAC
RNAcentral lists this ribosomal RNA (406 nucleotides) under uncultured bacterium. RNAcentral's name for it is "partial 16S ribosomal RNA". It matches the Rfam family "Bacterial small subunit ribosomal RNA", at positions 30 to 526 of the family's 1533-position model. The record is from RNAcentral.